Molecule: long non-coding RNA, 1234 nt
Filed under: Oncorhynchus mykiss (rainbow trout)
Lineage: Eukaryota; Metazoa; Chordata; Actinopteri; Salmoniformes; Salmonidae
Description: lncRNA (ENSOMYG00000077768.1)
Source: RNAcentral
AUGGAACAUUCUGGAAUGCUGUUUGUGAUGAAGUCACACAGUAGUUCGUUAGCUUCUGUCCGGUGCUCUGUGGCUGGCAUCAACCCAGGUUUCCCAUCGGUCCUCCUGUGGGUUGGGCAGACACUGACAAGCCUGCUCUCGGUGCAUGGGGCAGGGGUAAGGUGGGCUGCCUGCCUGGAGGGAGGGUGUCUGGGUGGGGAGCUUGUAGCCAGACCUUGGACCACUGGCUGGAUGGCUACAAUGACUGAACCUGAGUCUGAUCUCAUUUCAGAAUGCUCUGCAUAUAGUCUGCAGUACCUAAUGUACUUCUGCAUAAUGUUUAAUUGGGGAUCUGUUCCUUCCAGGUUCUGUUCCAGCCUGACCACUGGAGAACUGUUGCUGCACGACCUCAAGGUUUCUGCCCCUCUUGUUGAGGUCCUGGUGUCUGCAGGGUUUGGAAAGAUCUCGUUGGCUGCUGAGGUGUUGCUGUGCUGGUGGAGUGUGAAGCUCUCCAGUUUUACACCUGCAAGCCCUCUUGCACUCCUGAUUGGUUAGCAAGGAAGUGGGACGUCUCGUUGGAACUGGGGGGAAACCAGGCCAAGUCAAUUCAACCCCACGACUGUGUUUUGAUGUGUAUAUAUAAAUCUUCAAAAUAAUGCUUGUCCUAUUCUUUCUUGGUGGUAGUAAAUCAGACUUGUUGUAUUUGGCCAUUUUUCAAUACUGAACAGUGUGAUAUUUCCUGUCAUCUCAUUAUGUAGUUAUUCUAGGUUUGACUGAUUUCUCACUGGCUAUAGAAAGUUGACUGGCUAAUUUUAAGCCAAUUUGUUUUUGAAUUGAUGUGAGCAGCAUGUUCAGUCAUUGACACAAUGGGAUAGAUAAUAGAUGGAAUAAAUUCAGUUUAACGCUGCUACCAGUUCCUAGGCCGUUAUUGAAAAAUAAGAGUUUGUUCUUAACGGACUUGCCUAGUUAAAUAAAAUAACAGUAACAUGCAAAAAAUAACAGUCAAGGAUUACACAAAGAAAUGAGAAGAGAAAAAAAGUUAUCCACAUUAUUUCAAAUACAGACAUUCAGUUUUGUAUACAUUUCCAAGACUAAAUAGUUUUCCAAAUCAGAUUUUUCAUUAAGAAAUGGGACUUUCUUCAAAUGUUUUGUGUAUGAAAUGUUUUCCUAAUAAAAUAGAUUUGACACUCGCAUUCAAUUGUGGAAUCAGUGUAGUUUCAAUGGUUGUAUGCAAUUUGAAGCCAAGAUACAGUUU